RNAcentral lists this transfer RNA (72 nucleotides) under Urocitellus parryii (Arctic ground squirrel). RNAcentral describes it as "Spermophilus parryii (Arctic ground squirrel) tRNA". It matches the Rfam family "tRNA". From Rfam's summary of the family: Transfer RNA (tRNA) molecules are approximately 80 nucleotides in length. Their secondary structure includes four short double-helical elements and three loops (D, anti-codon, and T loops). Lineage: Eukaryota; Metazoa; Chordata; Mammalia; Rodentia; Sciuridae. RNAcentral also lists the same sequence under 2 other names. The record is from Rfam by way of RNAcentral.
AGGGGUGUGGCUCAGGGGUAGAGCACUUGCCUAGUGUGUGUGAGGCCCUGGGUUCCAUCCCCAGCACUGCAA